GUCUAUUUGGUAGGUAAAUAUAGUCUGACCUGCUCACUGAUAAUUAUUUAAAGAGCCGCGGUAUAUUGACCGUGCAAAGGUAGCAUAAUCAUUAGUUUUUUAAUUGAAAACUUGUAUGAAUGGUUGGACAAAAGAAAGGCUGUCUGUAUUACAAAUAUUGAAUUUAACUUUUAAGUGAAAAGGCUUAAAUAAUUUAAAGGGACGAUAAGACCCUAUAAAACUUUAUAUGUUAGUAAUAUUUAAUUGAAUUAUAAAAAUUUAAUUUUACGUUGUAUUUUAUUGGGGCGAUAAAGGUAUAAUUUGUGUAACUGCUUAAUAAUAAAACAAAUAAUAUUUGAGUAACAUUUGUAAAUGAUCCUUUUUAAAGAUUAAAAGACUAAGUUACUUUAGGGAUAACAGCGUAAUUUCUUUUGAGAGCCCAUAUCGAAAAAGAAGAUUGCGACCUCGAUGUUGAAUUAAAAUAUCUAUUUUAGGGCAGCCCCUAAAUAAGAAGAUCUGUUCGAUCUUUAAAUUUUU
RNAcentral lists this ribosomal RNA (516 nucleotides) under Lobopilumnus agassizii. Its description in RNAcentral is "partial 16S ribosomal RNA". It matches the Rfam family "Archaeal large subunit ribosomal RNA", at positions 1921 to 2666 of the family's 2987-position model. Lineage: Eukaryota; Metazoa; Arthropoda; Malacostraca; Decapoda; Pilumnidae. The record is from RNAcentral.